Long non-coding RNA from Taeniopygia guttata (zebra finch), 3943 nucleotides. Lineage: Eukaryota; Metazoa; Chordata; Aves; Passeriformes; Estrildidae. The record is from Ensembl.
UUUAUUUUAUGUUAUUCUUUUCCUGCUUAAUGCCCGUGUCUUGUAUUGGUACAUCAAUCCCAGCUUCUCCCGAGGCUGCAGAUCAAAUCUUUCAGUGUCUGUGGGAGUUUCUGGUUUUCCCAUUCCCACGUCUUCCCUCUCUCUCUGUAUGAAAAAAAAAAUUAUUAAUGGAUUUGUUAAGCAUUUGUUGCAUAUAUUAACAUAAAUAAGGUGUUAUCAUUAGUAUUAUUAUUAUAAUAUAAUUAAAAUGUAUAAUUUUGUUAUACAAUUUUUUAAUUAUAGUGUUAAAUUUUAUUUAUUGUUAUGUUUUAUUAUUCUUUUUUUUUAUAUUUCUUAAAGUUGUACAUUUUUAUAAGUAGAUUUUGUGUGAUUAGAUAAAUUUAUACAUUUUAUUAAAUUUUUAUAUUUAUGUUUCUGUGUUAAUAAAAGAAAAUUUAUUGGUUUUUUGUAAAACUGCGUGUUUAAUAUUUUUGAUAUUUGUUACGAAGUUAUUUAGUGUAAGGGAUGCAGAAUUAGAUUGUUUAUUGAGAUAAUAUUUUAACAGAUUUAAUUGUUUUAGUGUUGUUGAAGUAAUAGGUGGUAUGAAAAGUGAUGCUACCAUUUUUAUUUUAAGUUUCAAGGCUUAAAAUUACUUUUAUAUUUUGAUUACUAUUGAUGGAUAAAUGACUUUUCUUUUAAAUUGGUAAUCAUUUUUAUAUUAAGAGUUAAUGUAAGGUGUUUUUAAUUAUAUGGAUUAUUUAUAAAGUUUUUUAUUGGUAUAUUAAGUAAAGAAUGGAUUUUUUGAGUAGUGAUAGAUGAAUACUAAGUAAACUUGAAACUUUAGUUAAAGUUACUUAAAUGUUUGUUUUCGGUUGGUUAAUUGGUAAAGUGAUAUAAUUAAAAGUAAAUAAAGUAGAGUAGAAGUAUAAUGUUUGAUAGAAUUUUAUAAUUUGUAAGUUAUUAAGUAAUAAGAUUUUUAUAAUAUUGAUUUUUAUAUUUAUAAAGAAACUUAAAGUUUAUAGUUUCUUUGUGGGUGUUGUACAAGAUGUUAGGUGUAAGUUGCAAUUCUUGUGUAAUUUACAUUUGUAUUUACAUAGUGUAAUUUAUCCUUGUAUUUAUGUUGGUGUUUUAUUUGUGCAGUGGUGAGUGUGUUUUUUGUGUGAUCUGGUUUUAUGUUUCUUAUUGAAAUUUACUUGGGUUUUUGUACUUGUUGAGAUAUAAGUAAACUUUAUGUUUGGAUAUGUCAAAUAAGGCAUUGUUAAGUUUUGUUUUAUAAAAUUAUAUAGAGAUUUGCAAUAUAAUGAUAUAAGUUGUUAUUAUUAUAAUUUUUCAGUAAUAAGUAUGAAGAAAUAUGAGUAAAAUAAUGUAUGUAGUAAAGAAGAAACUGAUAAUUAUGAAUUCCAUAGAUAAUAUCUAUAAUUAGUAACAUAGGUGAAAUUAUAUAAUUAGUAAGUAUUAAAAGAUUGUACAUUAUUUUGGAAUUUAUAACAGUUGAUAAAUGUUAAAUUAGUGGAAAGUUGGAUAAUGAUUUUUAAAGUUUAUUUUAAAAAUAUGUUUAUUUGUUAUAUUGAUAAAGUUAAAUUGUUAAGUUAAAAUGAUUUGAAUUUUAUUUUUGAUGUAGAAAAACAUUUGGGUUUGUUGUUAAUUAUUUUAUUUAGGUAGAGUUAGGGUUUGGUUACAGUUUAAAUUUUAAUUGGUGGAUGUUACUUAAUAUAUUUUUGUAUAAUGUUUUUAAAAAUAGUAGUUAAGAGUAAAAAUGUUAGGAUUCAAGAUUAAUUACAUUAUUUAAUAAUUGGAUUUUUUAGUAGUUUUUUUAGACUAGAGAUGCUUUGAAUAUAGUAAACUUCUUUUAAAGAUUUGAAAGUGGUUAUGGACAGGAUUGUGAGUUUGGAUUUGGAUAUUGAGAGUGUGAAGGUGGAGGAAAUGUAUGAGAGAGUCAUUACUUAGUGUGAAACAGAAAAAGAAAUUAAUGUUGUAGUUGGAUUUUAUAUUGAAGUGAUUUUGUAAUAAUAACUGAGGAAAGUGAUAAGAUUAACAGUUUGGAGGAGGUUUUUAACGCAGUUUCAUUUAUCUUUUUUUUAAUUUUGAAAAAUAUUUAAAAUUGUGAGAUAACAUUAGGUUAAAUUGUAGAGUUAGUGUAGAGAUUAGUUAACUUGGUUUAAGAGCUGUAUAAAUAGAGAAUAAAAAAAGUAGGAUGUAGAAAGUUUUUGUCUUUUUUAGAUAAUUAUAUAAAGAGAUGAUAAAGUCUAUGCAAGUUGGUUGUCAAUAUUAUAAUAAUAUUUAUUAAAUAAUGUUUAGUAUAAAAAUUAAUAUAUUUGUAUUAUAUAACUAGCAUAUUAGUAGUAAGUGUUUGAAGAAAUCAGGAUAACUUUAAAAAAUAUUUAUAUAUUAAAGAAAUAGAGCAAAAAUUUUAAAAUCUAUGAUAUUAAUAGCAAUUACUAUUUUUUGGUGUUAUUUAUAAAAGAAAAAUAGUAGAGAUUGUGAUGAAGAAAAGAAUUUUUGAUGAAAUUGAUGAUAUAAUACACUGUAUUUCUUUUACUUCUGAAUAGGUGUUUGUUAGUGUUUUAUUUUAGUUGUUUAUUGGAGAUGUUUUCUUUUUUUUAAGAAAAUUACCCUUAUACUUUAUGGUUUAGAUAAAUGAUUUUUAAUAAAAUUUAGGAGAAGUUCUAUUAAAUACAUUUAAAUUUAGAUGGAUUGAAUUUUGAUAGUAAGGAAUAAUCAACUUAAUUUUAAUAGAAUAUUGAAGUGAUAAAAAGAAACUUAGUGUAUUUAUUUAAAUGUGUUGACAUUUAAUUGUGUUUGAUUUUAUUAGUACUUAACUUAUUGAAGGUUAUUAUUUAUAAAUAGUGAAGGUUUUUAAAGUAUUUUUGUUUUGGAGAAAUUUUAAAUUGUUGAGUUGUGAUUAUUACUUAUAUCUUUACAGGGUGGUUUUAUUUAUUGGGAAAUAUGUUUCUUAGUAAAUUUUUUUUAUUUAUGUUACAUUGCAAAUGGUACUAAUUUGUAUAGUGGGUUUUUUAAAUGCAGGAUAUUGAUUAGAUUCUUUUAUAUUUUUUGUGGGCUUUGACAAAUAUUUAUUUAUACGUUUAAGCUUUUCUAUAUUUGAAGUAUGUUUUGAUGGUUCUUGUUUUUUUAAGAGUUUUUAAUUUAGAAUUUGAAGAUUAUUUGGUGUUUGUAGGAAAUAAAUUUGGGGUUUUUUUUUGAUACGGUUGAGUUGUAUUUUUAAUGUUAGUAAGGACUACUUUUGGCACAUUAUUUUGAUUUUUUGUUUGGUUAUGGGGAGGGUCUCCUGUUAGAUGUGCAAGCAUGAGACUGGCAGUAGGGCUUUUUGUCUAAUGCUUGAUGAGUCUGUUUUAUGGGGAGGAGGUGUUAUUUUAAGUUUUAUAAAAUACACUGAGAAUUAGUUAAAAGCAUGGAAGAAACAUUAUGGUAAUUAAAGGGUGCUAUGUUUAAAGAGCUAUAAAUCCUUUUUAAUAACUGCUUGACAUAAGGUGAGCUUAAUCUACUUUUUCUGCCCCAGAAAGCAUCAGGCACAUGCGCAUCAAUGGCACGACCCCUGCCCACCGCUCCUGUUUCACCCGACCAAAAUCAAGAGCAGAAGUUGGUUGGGCUUUAAGAACAUGAAAUAACUUUGAAGCAAAAUAAAUCACAUUUUUCCCCUGUGUUUUUUUCCUUUCAGAUGCUGCACUCACCUCUGCAGACAAGCGCUGAACUCUCACUGCAGGAACCCGUCAGGCCUCGGUGGCUGUGAGUUCAUGUUCUUCUCACUGGGGAAUUGAAAUAAUUGCUGGUUAAUUGCAGAAAUGUUUUCUGGAGCCUUUCCCCUUUUGUGUCCCUGUGCUGUGUGGGACAAGGGCAGAGGAGCCAGAGGAGCUGGAAAGGGGCGGGAGAAGGCAAAGGGACCCCCUGGUGUCCCCAGGGCUCUGUGGGGAACAGAACGGACACUGUGGGGGCACGGGGAGGUGAG